CGUGCGCAUGUGCCGAAUCCUGCAAGGGAGCCGGGGAACCACCGUCUUGGGGUGAAUCGCACGGAUGCCGCCGUGGAGACACGGUCGGCUACGCGCGUAGGAGACCUUCCUCUCCGAACCCGUCAGCUAACCCGGCAGGCGAGACGGAAGGAAAGG
Molecule: small RNA, 156 nt
Filed under: Streptomyces nodosus
Lineage: Bacteria; Bacillati; Actinomycetota; Actinomycetes; Kitasatosporales; Streptomycetaceae
Description: c-di-AMP sequence
Rfam family: c-di-AMP riboswitch aptamer (ydaO/yuaA leader)
About the family: This family represents a conserved RNA structure found upstream of the ydaO and yuaA genes in Bacillus subtilis and related genes in other bacteria. The ydaO/yuaA element is thought to act as a genetic "off" switch for the ydaO and yuaA genes in its native state.
Source: Rfam by way of RNAcentral